This is a small nucleolar RNA of Artibeus jamaicensis (Jamaican fruit-eating bat), 139 nucleotides long. RefSeq annotates it as small nucleolar RNA SNORA1. Lineage: Eukaryota; Metazoa; Chordata; Mammalia; Chiroptera; Phyllostomidae. The record is from RefSeq and is a predicted model, not a curated record. The transcript has a single exon.
UGGCCCCAGGAAGUGAGUGCCAGACCACUAGACUAACCAGUCAAGUUAUCCACCAUCUCAGGUGCCUGCACUGAGACACAGGUUAUGCUUUUGUCACAGUAAGUGUAUGGCAGUGGUGGCAAUGAGACCUGUAACACUU